CCCUUAGAUGUCCUGGGCUGCACGCGCGCUACACUGAUGUGUCCAGUAAGCACCUAACCUCUUCCGAAAGGAACGGGUACCUUUGCAAAGCACAUCGUGAUGGGGAUAGAUUAUUGCAAUUAUUAGUCUUGAACGAGGAAUUCCUAGUAAGCACAAGUCAUCAGCUUGUGUUGAUUACGUCCCUGCCCUUUGUACACACCGCCCGUCGCUCCUACCGAUUGAAUGUUCCGGUGAGCUCUUCGGACUGCGCGGUCUGCAGUUUCUGCGUUCCGUGCGGAAAGUUGCGCAAACCUUAACAUUUAGAGGAAGGAGAAGUCGUAACA
RNAcentral lists this ribosomal RNA (323 nucleotides) under uncultured eukaryote. RNAcentral's name for it is "partial 18S ribosomal RNA". It matches the Rfam family "Eukaryotic small subunit ribosomal RNA", at positions 1470 to 1796 of the family's 1831-position model. The record is from RNAcentral.